RNAcentral lists this ribosomal RNA (494 nucleotides) under uncultured bacterium. RNAcentral describes it as "partial 16S ribosomal RNA". It matches the Rfam family "Bacterial small subunit ribosomal RNA", at positions 28 to 507 of the family's 1533-position model. The record is from RNAcentral.
GACGAACGCUGGCGGCGUGCUUAACACAUGCAAGUCGAACGGUGAAGCGCCUUCCUUUUUGGUGGGUGUGGAUGAGUGGCGAACGGGUGAGUAACACGUGAGUAACCUGCCCCCUUCUUCUGGAUAACCGCAUGAAAGUGUGGCUAAUACGGGAUAUUCUGGGUCUGUCGCAUGAUGGGUCUGGGAAAGAUAUUGUUUCGGUGGGGGAUGGGCUCGCGGCCUAUCAGCUUGUUGGUGGGGUGAUGGCCUACCAAGGCGGUGACGGGUAGCCGGCCUGGGAGGGUGGACGGUCACACUGGGACUGAGACACGGCCCAGACUCCUACGGGAGGCAGCAGUGGGGAAUAUUGCACGAUGGGCGCAAGCCUGAUGCAGCGACGCCGCGUGAGGGAUGGAGGCCUGCGGGUUGUGAACCUCUUUCGCCAGUGAAGCAGGCCUGCCUCGUUUGUGGGUGGGUUGACGGUAGCUGGAUAAGAAGCGCCGGCUAACUACGUG